Molecule: ribosomal RNA, 440 nt
Filed under: uncultured bacterium
Lineage: Bacteria
Description: partial 16S ribosomal RNA
Rfam family: Bacterial small subunit ribosomal RNA
Source: RNAcentral
CCUACGGGAGGCAGCAGUGGGGAAUAUUGCUCAAUGGGGGAAACCCUGAAGCAGCAACGCCGCGUGGGGGAUGAAGGUUUUCGGAUUGUAAACUCCUUUUGUUAGAGAAGAUAAUGACGGUAUCUAACGAAUAAGCACCGGCUAACUCCGUGCCAGCAGCCGCGGUAAUACGGAGGGUGCAAGCGUUACUCGGAAUCACUGGGCGUAAAGAGCGCGUAGGCGGGAUAGCAAGUCAGAUGUGAAAUCCUAGGGCUUAACCAUAGAACUGCAUUUGAAACUGUUAUUCUAGAGUAUGGGAGAGGUAGGUGGAAUUCUUGGUGUAGGGGUAAAAUCCGUAGAGAUCAAGAGGAACACUCAUUGCGAAGGCGACCUGCUAGAACAUAACUGACGCUGAUGCGCGAAAGCGUGGGGAGCAAACAGGAUUAGAUACCCCUGUAGUC